Molecule: ribosomal RNA, 272 nt
Filed under: uncultured Staphylococcus sp.
Lineage: Bacteria; Bacillati; Bacillota; Bacilli; Caryophanales; Staphylococcaceae
Description: partial 16S ribosomal RNA
Rfam family: Bacterial small subunit ribosomal RNA
Source: RNAcentral
ACGUUAGCGGCGGACGGGUGAGUAACACGUGGGUAACCUACCUAUAAGACUGGGAUAACUUCGGGAAACCGGAGCUAAUACCGGAUAAUAUUUCGAACCGCAUGGUUCGAUAGUGAAAGAUGGUUUUGCUAUCACUUAUAGAUGGACCUGCGCCGUAUUAGCUAGUUGGUAAGGUAACGGCUUACCAAGGCGACGAUACGUAGCCGACCUGAGAGGGUGAUCGGCCACACUGGAACUGAGACACGGUCCAGACUCCUACGGGAGGCGCAGAC